UACAGAGGGUGCGAGCGUUGUUCGGAAUUAUUGGGCGUAAAGGGCGCGUAGGCGGCUUUAUAAGUCGGGGGUGAAAGCCUGUGGCUCAACCACAGAAUUGCCUUCGAUACUGUAGAGCUUGAGACCGGAAGAGGUAAGUGGAACUGCGAGUGUAGAGGUGAAAUUCGUAGAUAUUCGCAAGAACACCAGUGGCGAAGGCGGCUUACUGGUCCGGUUCUGACGCUGAGGCGCGAAAGCGUGGGGAGCAAACAGG
This 253-nucleotide ribosomal RNA is filed under the name uncultured bacterium. Its description in RNAcentral is "partial 16S ribosomal RNA". It matches the Rfam family "Bacterial small subunit ribosomal RNA", at positions 524 to 776 of the family's 1533-position model. The record is from RNAcentral.